UCAGAUUGAACGCUGGCGGCAGGCCUAACACAUGCAAGUCGAACGGUAACAGGAAGCAGCUUGCUGCUUCGCUGACGAGUGGCGGACGGGUGAGUAAUGUCUGGGAAACUGCCUGAUGGAGGGGGAUAACUACUGGAAACGGUAGCUAAUACCGCAUAACGUCGCAAGACCAAAGAGGGGGACCUUCGGGCCUCUUGCCAUCGGAUGUGCCCAGAUGGGAUUAGCUAGUAGGUGGGGUAACGGCUCACCUAGGCGACGAUCCCUAGCUGGUCUGAGAGGAUGACCAGCCA
This 290-nucleotide ribosomal RNA is filed under the name Enterobacter sp. W2FG10. RNAcentral describes it as "partial 16S rRNA". It matches the Rfam family "Bacterial small subunit ribosomal RNA", at positions 24 to 310 of the family's 1533-position model. RNAcentral also lists the same sequence under 2 other names. Lineage: Bacteria; Pseudomonadati; Pseudomonadota; Gammaproteobacteria; Enterobacterales; Enterobacteriaceae. The record is from RNAcentral.